Molecule: long non-coding RNA, 2489 nt
Organism: Acinonyx jubatus (cheetah)
Lineage: Eukaryota; Metazoa; Chordata; Mammalia; Carnivora; Felidae
Exons: 5
Source: RefSeq, a predicted model, not a curated record
UAGCCAUUCCUCCCAUGAUGGAAAUUUAUUUUAUUUCUAUUCAGGACCCAGCAACUCUGGCCCACCCACCAACUGUGCCUGAGAUAUUCUUCCUUCCUUUCCCCACCCGUUCUCAGGGCAUGUCUCCAGAAUCCACAUUCUAGACUGUUCCCUCAAGGAGCUUGAUCUCAGAGGUCAAGCUUCAUUUUGGCUCUCUUGCUCUGCUCUACCCUGAUGUACUUGACAUUUUGAACUGUUCCUUCUGGUAAGGCUAACUUGCCAGGAAGCUGAACUUAAAUUCUCUUAAUUUUGCUUCUAACCCUGUCUAUAUUUUCCCAGCUAGUCCUAGGUUUAUAGAUCUUGGCUUGGGCCAGAGCACAAGGCCUGAGCUCUCCACUGGAUAAAAGUCAGGGUGGCAGGGCAAGGCCACUAAAUCUCUGGUUUGUGCCUAUUAAAAAUGACUCUGGGAUGAGCAAUUUUUUUUCAUAAAAUUUCCCCUCAUACUUAGGAUUGUUUUUUUAGGAUAGAAUCCCAGAAAUGGAAUUACUAAAUUAGGGAUUAUGACUAUUUUUAAAGCUGUUAAUAUUUAUUAUCAACUGAAUAUAGCUAACAUUUAUUAACUGCUUCUGAGACAUUAUCUCAUUUACUUCUCACAACAGUCAUAUACAUAUCCUCAUUAUGGAUAAGGAAAUGGAUGCAUAGAGAGUAUGUUUAACACUACAGUGCAUUAUUUUGAGCUAUCAAAAUGGCUGUCAUUGUUUAUUAUAACUCAAAAGGCAACAAUAGGCUUUGUUAAUGUGUUUGCCUAUUUUUGGUGGAGGGGGGAGUAUGGUAACAGGAAUGGUUGGUUAAAUAAUUUUGUUUCUUUUUUAAAAAAAUUGUUAAAAAUGUUUACUUUUGAGAGAAAGAGAAUGCAAGUGGGGGAGGGACAGAGAGAGGGAGACACAGAACCCAAAGCAGGCUCCAGGCUCCGAGCUGUCAGCACAGAGCCCGACACGGGGCUCGAACUUAUGAACCAUGAGAUCAGGACCUGAGCCAAUGCCGGACACUUAACUGACUGAGCCACCCAGCCACCCCAAUGACGUUUCUUUUUAAAAAGUAGUUGUGAAUUUUCCCUUGAGCAUUAUUUGUACAAAGGUUGUCAGAUUUAUGAACACAAAAUCAGUUUUAAGCCAAAAGAUAAACAGGAGGGCUCAUUGUUGAAUUAUUCAUCAGCUAUUUCAGUACCUCCCAUGUGCAUAGCACUGUGUUAGGAGCUAUGUGGAUGCUGAGCUAGAAUGUGGGCUCCAUGAGUGGAAAAGAGGAGAGGGAUUCUGUCUACUUUGUUCAGUGCUAUAUUACAGCACCAGGACAGUGCUUGGCACACAGUAAGUACUCAAGAAAUAUUUGUGGAGUGAAUAAAAAUGUGUUCAUCAUUUUUACCAGUUAGGAUUUGGUUCGUCAGUGAGUGACAGAAACUUCAAAAUAACAAAGACUAGGGGCACCUGGGUGGCUCAGUCAGUUAAGUGUCCAACUCUUGGUUUCAGCUCUGGACAUGAUCUCACUGUUUCGUGCGUUCGAGCCUCAUGUUGGGCUCUGUGCUGGCAGUGCAGAGCCUACUUGGGAUUCUCUGUCUCCCUUUGUCUCUGCCCCUCUCCCACUCGUGCUGUCUCUGUCUCUCUCAGGAUAAAUAAAUAAGCUUAAAAAAUUUUUUUUUUAAGUAACAAAGACUUAAGCUGGACGGAAAUCUAUUUCUUACAUGAAAUUAAUCUAGAGGAAAACAACCCAGGCAGUUAGGGAAGGCUCAUAAUAUCAUCAGGGCCCAGUGUAUCCAUGUCUUACUGCUCUGUAUUCUCUGGCAUCUGACUUUCACUUCAGGGUCCCAGCUGACUGCUUGAGCUCCAGCCAUCACAUCAACAUUUCCAAGAAAAAGGAGAAAAGAAGAGCACGCUUCCUUUCUUGAAAGGCACUUCCUGAAUUUAAGAGAACUGCUUACUUACAGGAGCAGACAGGGAGCAGAAGGCUUGAAAGAAGGUCAUCAGAGAAGAAUUGGAGGUCCACUGCAGCGUCCUCCUCAGCAGAGAAACACGAACUCCUUGAAAGUGUGGUGAGGGAGAGGGAGUGCACUCAAGAGCCUUCACCCGAGUCUGGAUUGGGGCUUCACUGCUUUCUUGCUCUGGGCUUUUUGAUCGUGUCUGAUCACCUCCAAGGGAACGUUUGGAGCCUUGUCGAGGUAGGCUUUGAGCAGCAAGGACCUCAUCUGAGCCUCAGCUGUAUCCACAACAGCCCAUUCGCUGAGAGUACCAAGGAAUGUGUAUAUGCAAAUAUGGUGUUGCCUAUGAGGAUGCACGAGACCUACCUACUCUGUGAAUACCACAUCUCUGAAGUAAGAAGCUCUCACCAUCGAUCUCUUAGAUCACCUUGCCAAUGUUCCACCAACGUAAGUGAAUCACAAGUUUAACUCGGGUUUGGUUAUUAAAAUGAUUAGAUUCUGUUGUAAAAAGUGAACUUGAACGUAUCCCAACAUGUAA